GAAAUCUCUCCUAAAAAUUAUUCAUCCAAACACACCUACAACUCAAACCCAUAAAAGUUUAAAGUAAAAGUCAAAUUGUUGGAAAAUGUAAAAAAAAAAGAUCAAAAGAAAGAAAGAAAUACUAUAGUUUCUCUCUCUCUCUUCUCUUUAUUAUCACGCCUCUCUAAUCUCUCCCCAUAUUUUAUCUAUAUCUUUUGUUCAAUCU
RNAcentral lists this long non-coding RNA (205 nucleotides) under Gossypium raimondii (Peruvian cotton). RNAcentral describes it as "long non-coding RNA (GRAI_LNC004613)". The record is from RNAcentral. Lineage: Eukaryota; Viridiplantae; Streptophyta; Magnoliopsida; Malvales; Malvaceae.